CCGAAAGAUUAAAAAAAGGGGGAAAAAUAAGAAAACAAAAAGGAAAAAUAGCAAAAGAUGGAAACUAACACAAUUCAUGGAAUUUAGAGAACAAAAAAUGCCCUCCCUUUCAAAAACACUUCAAAUGCUAAGAAGAUCAGGUGGCGGUGAUUGAGGCGGCGGUGGCUGUUGAUGGUCUUUUUGGUCUUUAGUUGUUGCAAUUGGAGAGUCUAGAUUAGUAGCUGAUUGAGCUGAGGAGUCUAUAAUUGUUGAGUCUCCUUGUUUUGAGCUUGGUGGCUUAGGAAUCUCUGUUAGAAUCUGCACAACUUCUCGCAUUGUUGGGCGUUCUAUGGCCUGUUCUUCCACACAGAGGAUUGCAACAUAGAAUACAUGCAUCACCUCAUGGAGGGGAACCGAUGGGAGUCUUGGGUCCAGGACUUUCAGAAC
RNAcentral lists this unclassified non-coding RNA (426 nucleotides) under Hevea brasiliensis (rubber tree). Lineage: Eukaryota; Viridiplantae; Streptophyta; Magnoliopsida; Malpighiales; Euphorbiaceae. The record is from RNAcentral.